AGUCUUAUAUUCAAUAAUGAUUUUAGAUUGCAAAUCUAAAGGUAAAAGUAAAUUUUUAAGGCUU
This 64-nucleotide transfer RNA is filed under the name Orohermes crepusculus. RNAcentral describes it as "tRNA-Cys". Lineage: Eukaryota; Metazoa; Arthropoda; Insecta; Megaloptera; Corydalidae. The record is from RNAcentral.